GACUUUCAGGGCUUGCUCUGAAAGUUAGUGGCGGACGGCUGAGUAACGCGUAGGUGACCUACCCCGAAGUGGGGAAUAACUGCCCGAAAGGGUGGCUAAUACCGCAUACGAUCGAUCAUUCACUUGAUCGAUGAAAGCAGUAAUGCGCUUUGGGAGGGGCCUGCGUCCGAUUAGCUCGUUGGUGGGGUAAUGGCUCACCAAGGCGACGAUCGGUAGGUGGUCUGAGAGGACGAUCACCCAGACUGGGACUGAGACACGGCCCAGACUCCUACGGGAGGCAGCAGUCGGGAAUUUUGCUCAAUGGGCGCAAGCCUGAAGCAGCAACGCCGCGUGAGGGAUGAAGGCCUUCGGGUUGUAAACCUCUUUUAUCAGGGACGAUUAUGACGGUACCUGAUGAAUAAGCCACGGCUAACUACGUGCCAGCAGCCGCGGUAAUACGUAGGUGGCAAGCGUUGUCCGGAUUUACUGGGCGUAAAGAGCGCGCAGGCGGUCGAGUAAGUCGAAUGUGAAAGCCCCCGGCUUAACUGGGGAGGGUCAUUCGAUACUGUUCGACUUGAAGGCAGGAGAGGGCAGCAGAAUUCCCGGUGUAGUGGUGAAAUGCGUAGGUAUCGGGAGGAAUACCAGUGGCGAAGGCGGCUGCCUGGCCUGUUCUUGACGCUGAGGCGCGAAAGCUGGGGGGAGCAAACGGGAUUAGAUACCCCGGUAGUCCCAGCCGUAAACGAUGGACACUAGGUGUUGGUGGUAUCAACCCCGCCAGUGCCGUAGCUAACGCAUUAAGUGUCCCGCCUGGGGAGUAC
RNAcentral lists this ribosomal RNA (797 nucleotides) under uncultured Chloroflexota bacterium. RNAcentral describes it as "bacterial SSU rRNA". It matches the Rfam family "Bacterial small subunit ribosomal RNA", at positions 68 to 883 of the family's 1533-position model. Lineage: Bacteria; Bacillati; Chloroflexota. The record is from RNAcentral.